This 495-nucleotide ribosomal RNA is filed under the name uncultured bacterium. RNAcentral's name for it is "partial 16S ribosomal RNA". It matches the Rfam family "Bacterial small subunit ribosomal RNA", at positions 28 to 507 of the family's 1533-position model. The record is from RNAcentral.
GAUGAACGCUGGCGGCGUGCCUAAUACAUGCAAGUAGAACGCUGAAGGAGGAGCUUGCUCUUCUGGAUGAGUUGCGAGCGGGUGAGUAACGCGUAGGUAACCUGCCUGGUAGCGGGGGAUAACUAUUGGAAACGAUAGCUAAUACCGCAUGACAACAGUUAUUGCAUGAUAACUGUUUAAAAGGGGCAACUGCUCCACUACCAGAUGGACCUGCGUUGUAUUAGCUAGUUGGUGAGGUAACGGCUCACCAAGGCGACGAUACAUAGCCGACCUGAGAGGGUGAUCGGCCACACUGGGACUGAGACACGGCCCAGACUCCUACGGGAGGCAGCAGUAGGGAAUCUUCGGCAAUGGACGGAAGUCUGACCGAGCAACGCCGCGUGAGUGAAGAAGGUUUUCGGAUCGUAAAGCUCUGUUGUAAGAGAAGAACGAGUGUGAGAGUGGAAAGUUCACACUGUGACGGUAUCUUACCAGAAAGGGACGGCUAACUACGUG